UCGAGAAUCUUUUGCAAUGGACGAAAGUCUGACAAAGCGACGCUGUGUGAAUGAUGAAGGCCUUCGGGUUGUAAAGUUCUUUCGCUUAGGAACAAGGUGAUGUUGUGAAUAACAAUAGAGCUUGAGCGUACUAAGUAAAGAAGCACCGGCUAACUNCCGUG
Molecule: ribosomal RNA, 161 nt
Filed under: uncultured bacterium
Lineage: Bacteria
Description: partial 16S ribosomal RNA
Rfam family: Bacterial small subunit ribosomal RNA
Source: RNAcentral